This 492-nucleotide ribosomal RNA is filed under the name uncultured bacterium. RNAcentral describes it as "partial 16S ribosomal RNA". It matches the Rfam family "Bacterial small subunit ribosomal RNA", at positions 29 to 507 of the family's 1533-position model. The record is from RNAcentral.
AGUGAACGCUGGCGGUAGGCCUAACACAUGCAAGUCGAACGGCAGCACAGUAAGAGCUUGCUCUUACGGGCGGCGAGUGGCGGACGGGUGAGGAAUACAUCGGAAUCUACUUUUUCGUGGGGGAUAACGUAGGGAAACUUACGCUAAUACCGCAUACGACCUACGGGUGAAAGCAGGGGAUCUUCGGACCUUGCGCGAUUGAAUGAGCCGAUGUCGGAUUAGUUAGUUGGCGGGGUAAAGGCCCACCAAGGCGACGAUCCGUAGCUGGUCUGAGAGGGUGAACAGGCACAGUGGGACUGAGACACGGGACAGACUCCUAGGGGAGGCAGCAGUGGGGAAUAGUGGAAAAUGGGGGGAAGCCUGAUCCAGGCGUGCCGGGUGGGUGAAGAAGGGCUUCGGGUUGGAAAACCCUUUUGGUGGGAAAAAAAAGUAUCAGGUUAAAAGCCCGUUUUUCUGACGGUACCCAAAGAAUAAGCACCGGCUAACUUCGUG